UACGAAGGGGGCUAGCGUUGCUCGGAAUCACUGGGCGUAAAGCGCACGUAGGCGGCUUGCUAAGUCAGGGGUGAAAUCCUGGAGCUCAACUCCAGAACUGCCCUUGAUACUGGCGGUCUCGAGUCCGGGAGAGGUGAGUGGAACUGCGAGUGUAGAGGUGAAAUUCGUAGAUAUUCGGAAGAACACCAGUGGCGAAGGCGACUUACUGGACAAAUAUUGACGCUGAGGUGCGAAAGCGUGGGGAGCAAACAGG
This 253-nucleotide ribosomal RNA is filed under the name uncultured bacterium. Its description in RNAcentral is "partial 16S ribosomal RNA". It matches the Rfam family "Bacterial small subunit ribosomal RNA", at positions 524 to 776 of the family's 1533-position model. The record is from RNAcentral.